This 602-nucleotide ribosomal RNA is filed under the name Xylobanus sp. UPOL A00054. RNAcentral's name for it is "partial 16S ribosomal RNA". It matches the Rfam family "Bacterial large subunit ribosomal RNA", at positions 1816 to 2714 of the family's 2925-position model. Lineage: Eukaryota; Metazoa; Arthropoda; Insecta; Coleoptera; Lycidae. The record is from RNAcentral.
CAUGUCCUUUUGAAUAUAAUUUAAGGUCUGAUCUGCUCAAUGAAGUUUAAAUAGCCGCAGUAUUUUGACUGUGCAAAGGUAGCAUAAUAAUUAGUUUCUUGAUUAGAAACUGGAAUGAAUGAUUGGACAAGAAAAUUUCUGUCUCUUUCUUAAUAUUAUUGAAUUUUAUUUUUAAGUGAAAAAGCUUAAAUGUUUAUAAAAGACGAGAAGACCCUUUAGAGUUUAACAAUUUUUUUUAUUGUAAGUUUAGAAAAGGUGAUUAAAUAAAAUUGUUUAGUUGGGGUGACUAAAAGAUUAAAUAAAUUCUUUUAAAUUAUAAUUGGAUAUAUCUAAAUUUAAAAUCUAUAAUUUGUAAAGUUAAAAUAAAUUACCUUAGGGAUAACAGCGUAAUUUUUCUUAGAAGUUCUUAUUUAAAGAAAAGUUUGCGACCUCGAUGUUGGAUUAAAAUUAAUUUUCGGAGCAAAAACUGAAAAAUUUGGUCUGUUCGACCUUUAAAAUUUUACAUGAUCUGAGUUUAAACCGGUGUAAGCCAGGUUGGAUUCUAUCUUUAGAUUUUAAAUAUAUUUUAGUACGAAAGGACCAAAUAUAUAUUAAAUUAAUUA